Molecule: non-coding RNA, 90 nt
Filed under: Pseudomonas sp. 29
Lineage: Bacteria; Pseudomonadati; Pseudomonadota; Gammaproteobacteria; Pseudomonadales; Pseudomonadaceae
Source: RNAcentral
UGUGGGAGCGAGCUUGCUCGCGAAGGCGUCGGCAAAGUCGGAAUCUGCGUUGCCUGACACACCGCUUUCGCGAGCAAGCUCGCUCCCACA